GGCAUGACGUAAAACAGCGAAGCAAAUAAUUCAACUGUAUUUAUAACUUAUAUAGGACAAUGCUGUUGAUUAAAAAAUACUCCAUUCCAGGACCUUUUGUUUUCCAAAUAAUUAAUAUUAUUGUUUCAGUUCGACGGGUUCAAACAGAAAGACUUGAAAGCAGAGAAAAACUGUGUAUCUUAUAAUCGGCAUGACUUUAUCAGAUGACAAUACUAAUACUAAAAUAAGGCUUGCGCAUACUCCAUUCCAGGACCUUUUGUUUUCCAAAUAAUUAAUAUUAUUGUUUCAGUUCGACGGGUUCAAACAGAAAGACUUGAAAGCAGAGAAAAACUGUGUAUCUUAUAAUCGGCAUGACUUUAUCAGAUGACAAUACUAAUACUAAAAUAAGGCUUGCGCAUAGUUAUAUACUAUAAUUCAGUCACGUACCCGUG
RNAcentral lists this long non-coding RNA (431 nucleotides) under Mytilus galloprovincialis (Mediterranean mussel). The record is from RNAcentral. Lineage: Eukaryota; Metazoa; Mollusca; Bivalvia; Mytilida; Mytilidae.